Molecule: ribosomal RNA, 496 nt
Filed under: uncultured bacterium
Lineage: Bacteria
Description: partial 16S ribosomal RNA
Rfam family: Bacterial small subunit ribosomal RNA
Source: RNAcentral
GAUGAACGCUGGCGGCGUGCCUAAUACAUGCAAGUCGAGCGAACAGAUGAGGAGCUUGCUCCUCUGACGUUAGCGGCGGACGGGUGAGUAACACGUGGAUAACCUACCUAUAAGACUGGGAUAACUUCGGGAAACCGGAGCUAAUACCGGAUAAUAUAUUGAACCGCAUGGUUCAAUAGUGAAAGACGGUUUUGCUGUCACUUAUAGAUGGAUCCGCGCCACAUUAGCUAGUUGGUAAGGUAACGGCUUACCAAGGCAACGAUGCGUAGCCGACCUGAGAGGGUGAUCGGCCACACUGGAACUGAGACACGGUCCAGACUCCUACGGGAGGCAGCAGUAGGGAAUCUUCCGCAAUGGGCGAAAGCCUGACGGAGCAACGCCGCGUGAGUGAUGAAGGUCUUCGGAUCGUAAAACUCUGUUAUUAGGGAAGAACAAAUGUGUAAGUAACUAUGCACGUCUUGACGGUACCUAAUCAGAAAGCCACGGCUAACUACGU